This is a long non-coding RNA of Lotus japonicus, 3487 nucleotides long. RefSeq lists it as uncharacterized. Lineage: Eukaryota; Viridiplantae; Streptophyta; Magnoliopsida; Fabales; Fabaceae. The transcript is spliced from 9 exons. The record is from RefSeq and is a predicted model, not a curated record.
CAAGACCCUGUUUGCAUCAUUUCACGCUAUUUCUUUCUCCCUCUCUUCCCCUUCUUCUUCCUCUCUUCCCUUUCUCUCUCUUUCUCUCCCAAAUCCCUAACCAUUGACGAUGAAACCCGAACACUUACCUUCGUUGAACUUCGAUCUCUCCCGAGUUCAGAUCCCGAAGUCGGAGAAUCGAAUCUACAAGCACGAAUGCUGCGUUUCUUUUGACUCUCCGGUGUGAACAAUGAAGUCGAGUAUGAGGAAACUUAUAAAGUAGUUAUAUUACCUGACUAUGUGUCUCUUCUGUUCCCUUCUGUGGAAUUGCCAGACAAGGUAAAUGCGGCAGUUGAUGCAAUCUUACAGGCUGAAAGUGCUGAGGGGAAGGACCAAGUUGGAGCUUGGAUUGCGGAUUACACUCAAAUGACGGUUCCUGAAAAAGAAAAUGCAAUUUUUUACUUGAAUCGAAUGCAAGGAAGUGAACAACCAUUACCUUCAGUUUCUGGACCCGGAUACACGGGAUUGUUCAACAUUGGUAACAGUUGUUAUAUGGCAACAACCUUGCAAUUACUGUUUUCAACAAGGGGCCCUUCAUAAAACGGUACCUCGAAGACCAAAGUCGAAAGGAGGCGUUUGAGGUGUCUCCCGCUGAUCCAACUGUUGACCUGAAUAUGCAGUUGACUAAAUUGGCGUAUGGUUUACUUUCUCCGGAAUGCCCAGCUGAGAAACAAGGGAUACACCCACAUAUGUUCAAAGGUGUAAUUGCUGCAAGCGAUCCUAAAUUUUCAUCUGUGCAGCAACAGGAUACCCUUGAAUUUUUUCUACAUUUUAUUGAUCGAGUUAAGCGAGCUAAUGCUGGGAAAACUAAACUGGAAGAUCCAGCAAGCAGUUUCAAGUUUGGCAUUGAAGAUAUAUUUGAGUGUGACGGUAUGUUUACACGUAAAAGAAGGCAUGCAUACGUUCUUUCUCUCAAUAUCCCUUUGGCUAAAGCAACCAACAAAUGUGAGUUCUUAAGUCAACAACCUUAACUUUGAACUGAGAUGUCUUUUGGAUCUUAAACAUAUUUGUGUUGUUUGAUAAAUCUGAGAAGAAUUGACAUCCUUUGAAAAAUUGAAAGCAGAUAACCUUGCAAACAAAGACAAAAAGUACGUUCAGAUGCUCAGAAAUCUUACUAUUUCCUUCAUAUGCUUUUUAAGACUCUGCUUAGCAUAUUUGUUCUGACAGAGGUGUCGAUGAGAUUGAGCGUCCAAGGCUAAAGGUGCCUUUAAAAGCUUGCCUUGCGAACUUCCUUGCUCCUGAGGAGGUGCAUGAUAUUUACAAUCCUGAUUUGAAAACAAAGAUGACAGCAAGGAAGUAAGCAUUCUGAAGUUUCUAAAUACCAUGCUUGUUGCUUCAUAUUAGGAAGAACUUACAUAGCUAUAUAAUGAGGUUUCUUUAAAAAAUUUGAGAAAUUUCAUAUAUUAGUGUUAUGGCCAUGGUUAGUGGAUGACAAUUACAUUUGAUCAUAGGGAGUUAGUUAUAGGGUUGACAACUUUUGAUGUGGUCCACAUUACACUAUUAAUAGCAUAUAAUAAUUUUUAAUUGACGAUCUUGAAUCAAUGGCUACUAAGGCGAUGUACCACUUACUUUGCCAAGCUAGUAUAGUUAUAAACUCGUAUUCUCAUUAUUAGAGCAUUCAAAAAUUAUUUUGAUGCUGAAACAUCGAUUAUUCUGCAGGACUUCACGUCUGACUUCAUAUCCUAAAUACCUGAUGUUAUAUAUACGAAGAUUUUUUACGGAAGUAGCAUAUGAUCCCAAAAAGCUAGGUACGCUUUGUCUUAAUGUGCCUAUUUACAUGGAAAAGUACUAUUUUAAUCUAUGUAAACUGCUAAGCAUUUGUCUUCUUUCAGAUAUACAUAUUGAUGUUCCUGAUAUCAUAAAUAUUGAUGCUCUCCGCAAAUGACUGAUAUUUAUGAUAUCAGGAACAUCAAUAUGUAUAUCUGAAAGAAGACAAAUGCUUAGCAGUUUACAUAGAUUAAAAUAGUACUUUUCCAUGUAAAUAGGCACAUUAAGACAAAGCGUACCUAGCUUUUUGGGAUCAUAUGCUACUUCCGUAAAAAAUCUUCACAUAUGUAACAUCAGGUAUUUAGGAUAUGAAGUCAGACGUGAAGUCCUGCAGAAUAAUUGGUGUUUCAGCAUCAAAAUGAUUUUUGAAUGCUCUAAUAAUGAGAAUACGAGUUUAUAACUAUACUAGCUUGACAAAGUAAGUAGUCCACCGCCUUAGUAGCCAUUGAUUCAUGAUCGUCAAUUAAAAAUUAUUAUAUGCUAUUAAUAGAGUAAUGUGGACCACAUCAAAAGUUGUCAACCAUAUAACUAACUCCCUAUGAUCAAAUGUAAUUGUCAUCCACUAACCAUGGACAUAACACUAAUAUAUGAAAUUUCUCAAAUUUUUUAAAGAAACCUCAUUAUAUAGCUAUGUAAGUUCUUCCUAAUAUGAAGCAACAAGCAUGGUAUUUAGAAACUUCAGAAUGCUUACUUCCUUGCUGUCAUCUUUGUUUUCAAAUCAGGAUUGUAAAUAUCAUGCACCUCCUCAGGAGCAAGGAAGUUCGCAAGGCAAGCUUUUAAAGGCACCCUUAGCCUUGGACGCUCAAUCUCAUCGACACCUCUGUCAGAACAAAUAUGCUAAGCAGAGUCUUAAAAAGCAUAUGAAGGAAAUAGUAAGAUUUCUGAGCAUCUGAACGUACUUUUUGUCUUUGUUCGCAAGGUUAUUUGCUUUCAAUUUUUCAAAGGAUGUCAAUUCUUAUCAGAUUUAUCAAACAACACAAAUAUGUUGAAGAUCCAAAAGACUUCUCAGUUAAGGCUGUUGACUUAAGAACUCACCUUUGUUGAUUGCUUUAGGCAAAGGGCUAUUGAGAAAGAACGUAUGCAUGCCUUCUUUUACGUGUAAACAUACCGUCACACUCAAAUAUAUCUUCCAGUUUAGUUUUCCCAUUAUUAGCUCGCUUAACUCGAUCAAGAAAAUGUAGAAAAAAUUCAAGAGCAUCCUAAUAUCAAGUUGGAAUGAAGUAGGAUAGCAAAGUAAGAUCACUUUAAAUAGAACAAUAUACGCACCAAAAACUUUUGAAGAAUAAAAAACCUUAUGUUUAUUUAUUAAAAGCCAGAGUAAACAUAUCAAGGCCUAAAUUUUAUUUGAAAAAUAGAAGUAAAUCCAACUAAGCUGUUUUGAACUUUUAUGACAAAGAAGGUAAGGUGAAAAUUACGUGUAUGGUUGAGAUAUGUUAUUUGUUAUGUUUUAUAUCUUAAGAUAGUUCUAUAAGGAUCCUUAUCUUAUUGUUAUAGGUCUUUUAGUUUGACUAGGACGAGGAAACCUCAUCUAUAAAUACGGUUAUGCAUACAACUUUGUUCAGGUUUAAAUAAAAUAUGUAUAGAGUAAACAUUUUCAUGAGAAGAUAGAGUUAUGUGAAAAUAAAUCAUUAAUAGAAAAAUAAAUUUUAUAUUAUUAAUUUUAGUAUUUUUUCAUAAUUUU